Molecule: ribosomal RNA, 505 nt
Filed under: uncultured bacterium
Lineage: Bacteria
Description: bacterial SSU rRNA
Rfam family: Bacterial small subunit ribosomal RNA
Source: RNAcentral
GGUCAGGAUGAACGCUAGCGACAGGCUUAACACAUGCAAGUCGAGGGGCAGCACGGGAGUAGCAAUACUUGGUGGCGACCGGCGCACGGGUGAGUAACGCGUAUGCAACCUACCUAUCAGAGGGGAAUAACCCGGCGAAAGUCGGACUAAUACCGCAUAAAACAGGGGCACCGCAUGGUGAUAUUUGUUAAAGAAAUUCGCUGAUAGAUGGGCAUGCGUUCCAUUAGGUAGUUGGUGAGGUAACGGCUCACCAAGCCGACGAUGGAUAGGGGAACUGAGAGGUUGGUCCCCCACACUGGUACUGAGACACGGACCAGACUCCUACGGGAGGCAGCAGUGAGGAAUAUUGGUCAAUGGGCGGGAGCCUGAACCAGCCAAGUCGCGUGAAGGAAAAGAAGGAUCUAUGGUUCGUAAACUUCUUUUGCAGGGGAAUAAAGUGCAGGACGUGUCCUGUUUUGUAUGUACCCUGAGAAUAAGGAUCGGCUAACUCCGUGCCAGCAGCAGC